This is a non-coding RNA of Pelobates cultripes (western spadefoot toad), 713 nucleotides long. The record is from the annotation of a GenBank genome assembly. Lineage: Eukaryota; Metazoa; Chordata; Amphibia; Anura; Pelobatidae.
GUUUAGCACGCUUAGUUUAAUUAGAAUUGCAUUAAACUUUACAUGAUAGCUGGAGUUCUAAACUAAAAACAACACAUAUUUGUAAAUUAUUUUAAUUGCCUAUUAAGAAAUUAACAUUUUCAUUGUAAAUAGUUCUUGUGACUAAUUCAGGCAUUUUCUGUUGAGGAUCAUAUUAAAUCCAGAAGGUCUUGAACGUUUUUUGACAAUGGUGUUUGUACAAGCGGAUAAAAAGAAAACGCAAACCGAUGCUUAAUAGUCAGAAAGUCCGAUUGUCGUCCGUGUGGUGGUUUGGCUCAUCCAAAUAUCGUCCAUUGAAAAUAUUCAGGAAAAUGAUACUGACAAACCAAAAGUAUAUAGAUUUUUUUUUUAGAUUUAUUAUCCAUCACUGAAACAGCCCUGCAGCAUGAAUUGUAGAGAUUAUUGGCAUUCAUCACAUAGUUGUCCAUGCAAGGUCUACUCGGCAGAGAGUUUCAUUAUUUUCCUUCUCCUGGGUUUAGCUGGAGCCUAUCAACAGGGAAAGAGUGGACAAAAACGAGCUGUGAAUAAAUGAAGAAAGUAUGUAUUGUAUCAAACGCAAUAGUUUUUGAAUGAUGAUUAAUCAAUAUUUUUAUUAAAGUGGUUAUAAACGUUUAAUAAAUUAGAGUUUACUCAUUAAAUUAUACAAUGCAGGCAAAAUUAGUUGAGAUUUAAAAAUGUUUAAAUGUAGCUUAGAU